This 120-nucleotide non-coding RNA is filed under the name Schistocephalus solidus. Lineage: Eukaryota; Metazoa; Platyhelminthes; Cestoda; Diphyllobothriidea; Diphyllobothriidae. The record is from Rfam by way of RNAcentral.
AUACCGAUUUGGUACUCUUAUGAAGGCUUCGUAAUCGGAAUGAGUGAACUGUAAAUCAUUUUACGAGGAUCAAUAAAAGGGCGAGACUGGUGCCAGAAGCCAAGUUAACUUCAGCUCCAA